RNAcentral lists this ribosomal RNA (594 nucleotides) under uncultured bacterium. RNAcentral describes it as "bacterial SSU rRNA". It matches the Rfam family "Bacterial small subunit ribosomal RNA", at positions 567 to 1160 of the family's 1533-position model. The record is from RNAcentral.
GCAUGCGGGUGGUUCAUUAAGUCAGAUGUGAAAGCCCGGGGCUCAACCUCGGAACUGCAUUUGAAACUGGUGAACUAGAGUACUGUAGAGGGGGGUAGAAUUUCAGGUGUAGCGGUGAAAUGCGUAGAGAUCUGAAGGAAUACCAGUGGCGAAGGCGGCCCCCUGGACAGAUACUGACACUCAGAUGCGAAAGCGUGGGGAGCAAACGGGAUUAGAUACCCUGGUAGUCCACGCCGUAAACGAUGUCUACUUGGAGGUUGUGGCCUUGAGCCGUGGCUUUCGGAGCUAACGCGUUAAGUAGACCGCCUGGGGAGUACGGUCGCAAGAUUAAAACUCAAAUGAAUUGACGGGGGCCCGCACAAGCGGUGGAGCAUGUGGUUUAAUUCGAUGCAACGCGAAGAACCUUACCUACUCUUGACAUCCAGAGAAGCCAGCGGAGACGCAGGUGUGCCUUCGGGAGCUCUGAGACAGGUGCUGCAUGGCUGUCGUCAGCUCGUGUUGUGAAAUGUUGGGUUAAGUCCCGCAACGAGCGCAACCCUUAUCCUUGUUUGCCAGCGAGUAAUGUCGGGAACUCCAGGGAGACUGCCGGUGAUA